CGGGGGGGGCAAGCGUUGUUCGGAAUUACUGGGCGUAAAGGGCUCGUAGGUGGCCAACUCAGUCGGACGUGAAAUCCCUCGGCUUAACCGGGGAACUGCGUCCGAUACUGGAUGGCUUGAGAUCGGGAGAGGGAUGCGGAAUUCCAGGUGUAGCGGUGAAAUGCGUAGAUAUCUGGAGGAACACCGGUGGCGAAGGCGGCAUCCUGGACCGACACUGACACUGAGGAGCGAAAGCCAGGGGAGCAAACGGGAUUAGAUACCCCGGUAGUCCUGGCCCUAAACGAUGAAUGCUUGGUGUGACGGGUAUCGAUCCCUGUCGUGCCGAAGCUAACGCAUUAAGCAUUCCGCCUGGGGAGUACGGUCGCAAGGCUG
This 372-nucleotide ribosomal RNA is filed under the name uncultured organism. RNAcentral's name for it is "bacterial SSU rRNA". It matches the Rfam family "Bacterial small subunit ribosomal RNA", at positions 526 to 896 of the family's 1533-position model. The record is from RNAcentral.